This 355-nucleotide ribosomal RNA is filed under the name uncultured Acholeplasma sp. RNAcentral describes it as "bacterial SSU rRNA". It matches the Rfam family "Bacterial small subunit ribosomal RNA", at positions 1025 to 1382 of the family's 1533-position model. Lineage: Bacteria; Bacillati; Mycoplasmatota; Mollicutes; Acholeplasmatales; Acholeplasmataceae. The record is from RNAcentral.
UCAGGGAGGACAGGUGGUGGCAUGGUUGUCGUCAGCUCGUGUCGUGAGAUGUUGGUUAAGUCCCGCAACGAGCGCAACCCUUAUUGCUAGUUACCAUCAUUAAGUUGGGGACUCUAGCGAGACUGCCAGUGAUAAACUGGAGGAAGGUGGGGAUGACGUCAAAUCAUCAUGCCCCUUAUGACCUGGGCUACAAACGUGAUACAAUGGCUGAAACAAAGGGCAGCGAAGGAGCGAUCUGGAGCGAAACCCAAAAAGCAGUCUCAGUUCGGAUUGAAGUCUGCAACUCGACUUCAUGAAGUCGGAAUCGCUAGUAAUCGCGGAUCAGAACGCCGCGGUGAAUACGUUCUCGGGGUUU